UAGGGAAUCUUCGGCAAUGGGGGGAACCCUGACCGAGCAACGCCGCGUGAGUGAAGAAGGUUUUCGGAUCGUAAAGCUCUGUUGUUAAGGAAGAACGAGUGUGAGAAUGGAAAGUUCAUGCUGUGACGGUACUUAACCAGAAAGGGACGGCUAAAUACGUGCCAGCAGCCGCGGUAAUACGUAUGGGGCGAGCGUUGUCCGGAAUUAUUGGGCGUAAAGGGUACGUAGGCGGUCUAUUAAGUCAGGUGUGAAAGCGUGAGGCUUAACCUCAUUAAGCACUUGAAACUGAUAGACUUGAGUGAAGGAGAGGAAAGUGGAAUUCCUAGUGUAGCGGUGAAAUGCGUAGAUAUUAGGAGGAAUACCGGUGGCGAAGGCGACUUUCUGGACUUUUACUGACGCUCAGGUACGAAAGCGUGGGGAGCAAACAGG
RNAcentral lists this ribosomal RNA (429 nucleotides) under Verrucomicrobiota bacterium. Its description in RNAcentral is "Verrucomicrobia bacterium partial 16S ribosomal RNA". It matches the Rfam family "Bacterial small subunit ribosomal RNA", at positions 355 to 776 of the family's 1533-position model. Lineage: Bacteria; Pseudomonadati; Verrucomicrobiota. The record is from RNAcentral.